UCCGAUUAAACGGAUGACCGCGUGCCUGUUGAAGAAUGAGCCGGCGACUUAUAGGCACUGGUAGGUUAAAGCGAGAAUGCUGGAGCCAAAGGGAAACCGAGUCUGAAGAGGGCGAAAAUCAGUGUUUAUAGACCCGAACCCUGGUGAUCUAACCAUGGCCAGGAUGAAGCUUGGGUAACACCAAGUGGAGGUCCGAACCGACCGAUGUUGAAAAAUCGGCGGAUGAGUUGUGGUUAGGGGUGAAAUGCCAAUCGAACCAGGAGCUAGCUGGUUCUCCCCGAAAUGUGUUGAGGCGCAGCGGUAAUGAUUAAAUCUAGGGGGUAAAGCACUGUUUCGGUGCGGGCUGGGAGACCGGUACCAAAUCGAGACAAACUCAGAAUACCCAGAGAACACAUUGCCAGUGAGACAGUGGGGGAUAAGCUUCAUUGUCAAGAGGGAAACAGCCCAGACCACCAGCUAAGGUCCCCAAAUCAUCACUAAGUGAUAAAGGAGGUGGGAUUGCAAAGACAACUAGGAGGUUUGCCUAGAAGCAGCCACCCUUGAAAGAGUGCGUAAUAGCUCACUAGUCAAGCGAUCUUGCGCCGAAAAUGAACGGGGCUAAGUGAUGUACCGAAGCUGUGGGAUUAGAAAUAAUCGGUAGGGGAGCGUUCCGUAGUAGGGAGAAGCAGUAGCGGCGAGCAGCUGUGGACGAAACGGAAGUGAGAAUGUCGGCUUGAGUAGCGAAAACAUUGGUGAGAAUCCAAUGCCCCGAAACCCUAAGGGUUCCAGAGGCAGGUUCGUCCACUCUGGGUUAGUCGGGACCUAAGGCGAGGUCGAAAGGCGUAGUCGAUGGACACAGGGUCAACAAUCCCUGACUAAGAUAUGGGAGCAUUGCUAGGGACGCAUGAAAGAUAGCCAUACCCUGAUUGGUUUGGGAGGUCGUUACGACGACUGCAUGGUGAAGGAUAGUGUCAAGAAAAGCUAGUUAUGUGAUGAAGAUAUCUUACCCGUACCCGAAACCGACACAGGUAGGGAGGUUGAGAAUACCAAGGGGCGCGAGAUAACUCUCUCUAAGGAACUCGGCAAAAUGGCCCCGUAACUUCGGGAGAAGGGGUACCCCCUUAGGGGGGUCGCAGUGACCAGGCCCAGGCGACUGUUUAUCAAAAACACAGGUCUCCGCUAAGUCGUAAGACAAUAUAUGGGGGCUGACGCCUGCCCAGUGCCGGAAGGUUAAGGAAGUCGGUUAGCUUAGGCGAAGCUGGCGACCGAAGCCCCGGUGAACGGCGGCCGUAACAAUAACGGUCCUAAGGUAGCGAAGUUCCUUGUCGGGUAAGUUCCGACCCGCACGAAAGGCGUAACGAUUUGGACACUGUCUCGAGAAGAUGCACGACGAAAUUGUAGUACCGGUAAAGAUGCCGGUUACCCGCUGCUGGACAGAAAGACCCCGUGAACCUUUACUGCAACCUAACAUUGAAUUCUGGUGCACUAUGUGCAGGAUAGGUGGGAGGCUUUGAAGUGGCAUCGCUAGAUGUCAUGGAGCCAUCCUUGGGAUACCACCCUUACUGUAUUGGGAUUCUAACACCGACUGUUAUCCAGUUCGGUAGACAGUGUUAGGCGGGUAGUUUGACUGGGGCGGUCGCCUCCCAAAGAGUAACGGAGGCGCCCAAAGGUAUCCUCAGGCUGAUUGGAAACCAGCCGUAGAGUGUAAAGGCAUAAGGAUGCUUAACUGUGAGACAGACAUGUCGAACAGAUGGGAAACCAGGGCUUAGUGAUCCGGUGGUUCCGUAUGGAAGGGCCAUCGCUCAACGGAUAAAAGGUACUCCGGGGAUAACAGGCUUAUAGCGUCCAAGAGUUCAUAUCGACGACGCUGUUUGGCACCUCGAUGUCGACUCAUCGCAUCCUGGGGCUGAAGUCGGUCCCAAGGGUUGGGCUGUUCGCCCAUUA
Molecule: ribosomal RNA, 1923 nt
Filed under: Globobulimina sp.
Lineage: Eukaryota; Foraminifera; Rotaliida; Buliminidae
Description: bacterial LSU rRNA
Rfam family: Bacterial large subunit ribosomal RNA
Source: RNAcentral